UCCAUUUUCGUCCGCUGCUCUUUUAAUAUUCACGGUUUAGACGGCAUCUGGGACCCUCACGGAGAUCUCUUCCUCGCUUCCCAUCUUUCCCCCUCUCCGAUCUGUAGCUGUUCGAUUCUGGAGGAAUUUAGUGGAGGAGUUUCCUCUCUUCUAGAGGCCUUUCGUCGCCAUGGAUCGCGCGGAGCUGACGACCGAACAGGUUCUCAAGAGGGAUAUACCAUGGGAGACUUACAUGUCAACAAAGCUCAUCACUGGAACAUGUCUUCAGCUAUUAAGGCGCUAUGACAACAGAUCUGAAAGUCAAAGAGCUGCUUUGCUUGAUGAUGAUGGACCAGCUUAUGUUCAGGUCUUUGUGAAUAUUCUACGUGACAUUGCGAAGGAAGAAACAGUAGAAUAUGUGCUUGCUCUUAUUGAUGAAAUGCUUACAGCAAAUCCCAAACGUGCUAGACUUUUUCAUGACAGGUCUCUAGCAAAUGAAGAUACUUAUGAACCUUUCUUAAGAUUGCUAUGGAAAGGCAACUGGUUCAUACAAGAAAAGAGCUGUAAAAUACUGUCUCUCAUAGUGAGUGUUCGGCCAAAAAUUCAGGAUGGCAUUGUUCUAAAUGGAAACACUUCACAUUCAAAAAGCACGCGCACUGGCAUCAAUGAUGUGCUAAAAGGCCUGGUUGAGUGGCUAUGUUCUCAGCUGAAGAACCCAUCUCAUCCCAAUUGUUCUGUGCCCACGGCUAUAAAUUGUUUAGCCACUUUGCUACGAGAACCUUGCGUGAGAGCUUCAUUUGUUCAAGCAGAUGGCGUGAAGUUGCUAAUUCCUUUGAUUUCUCCAGCAUCCACUCAGCAGUCUAUCCAGCUCCUUUAUGAAGCUUGCCUCUGUAUUUGGCUGUUGUCAUAUUAUGAUGCUGCAGUUGACUAUUUGGCCACUACCAGGAUAAUGCCAAGACUAGUGGAAGUUGUCAAAAGUUCCACAAAGGAGAAGGUUGUGAGGGUUAUUGUUUUGACCUUCCGCAAUUUGCUAGCAAAGGGAGCAUUUGGGGCUCAAAUGAUCGAUCUUGGAUUACCGCAUAUUGUCCAGAGUUUAAAAGCACAGGCAUGGAGUGAUGAGGAUUUGUUGGCUGCAUUGAAUCAGCUAGAAGAUGGGCUUAAAGAUAACAUCAAAAGAUUAAGUUCAUUUGAUAAAUAUAAGCAGGAAGUCCUUCUAGGUCAUCUUGACUGGUCCCCUAUGCACAAGGAUCCAAAUUUCUGGCGUGACAAUAUUACAAACUUUGAAGAAAAUGAUUUCCAGAUCCUGCGUGUCCUCGUAACAAUCCUUGAUAUGUCAAAUGAUCCAACAGCACUUGCUGUUGCUUGUUAUGAUUUAUCUCAAUUCAUUCAGUACCACCCCGGCGGGAGGAUUGUUGUUUCGGAUCUGAAGGCCAAGGAAAGGGCAAUGAAACUCAUGAAUCAUGAAAAUGCUGAGGUUACAAAGAAUGCCCUUCUUUGUGUCCAGAGGCUUUUCCUUGGUGCCAAAUAUGCUAGCUUUUUGCAGUCUUAAGUCCAUAAGCUAUGCCUUUGGGACUCUGGCUUGUGUGUGAGCUCAUGCUAUCACAAUUAAGUUGUAGCCUUAGUUGAUGAAACCUUAGGCAUUCUGUUGGAAAUUGCAAACUUUAUCUGACAUACUGUGGAAGAAGAGAAGGAAAAGGACAUGGGUAUUAUCAUCCCCUGAGGUACUUUGUUUCUGGCGAUCCCAUAUUUUGUAUUUGGGCGAAAAUAUUUGGCUGCAGAACCCGAAAUGCAUUCAUUUUCAGCUGUUAGAUUCUCUUCUGCAUAUAUUUUCGUUGUCUGUUCUUUGUGCUGGGAAUUUUGACCGGCUUUUACAUGGGCUGUCUGAAGAUUCUGUGUUUGAUGGCUGGUCCUACUUAGGUUGGUCUUGUGGAAAACUGACCGACAAUGGCCAGAUCAGUUGCUCUGUGAUACUCUCUUGGUACGGUCAGGUACCUAGUGUUGCUGCCAAAGUAUGGUCAGGCAGCCGAUGUUGCUGCCGAUGAGCUUGUAAUUCCGAUGCUUGAGAGGGCCACUGAAGGGAGAGAUUGUGGCUAAAAAAUUAGGGCAGGCAAACCUGGAUUGUGAUCAGGUAUUUGCUGGUGACAGUCGGAGCAGCUCAGGCUUGUCGUCUCUGACCUGAUGGAUCUAUGGUUAAUGCAAAGCAUCUCUCUCACCAUUCUGAAUUCAAUAUGGACUUACCAAAAUCUAAGAAAUCAAGUAUUUUUCCACUUCCAA
RNA transcript from Phoenix dactylifera (date palm), 2253 nucleotides. It is a transcript of the gene named putative V-type proton ATPase subunit H, with no coding region annotated. Lineage: Eukaryota; Viridiplantae; Streptophyta; Magnoliopsida; Arecales; Arecaceae. The record is from RefSeq and is a predicted model, not a curated record.